RNAcentral lists this ribosomal RNA (257 nucleotides) under uncultured bacterium. RNAcentral's name for it is "partial 16S ribosomal RNA". It matches the Rfam family "Bacterial small subunit ribosomal RNA", at positions 524 to 776 of the family's 1533-position model. The record is from RNAcentral.
UACAGAGACCUCAAGCGUUAUCCGGAAUCAUUGGGCGUAAAGCGUACCGAUAGGUGGUUUUACAUGUCAGAAGUGAAAUCUCUCAGCUUAACUGGGAGACUGUCUUUUGAAACUGUAAAACUAGAGGGGCAAAGAGGAAGCUGGAACGAACGGUGUAGUAGUGAAAUGCGUUGAUAUCGUUCGGAACACCAAUAGCGUAGGCAGGCUUCUGGGUGCCACCUGGCACUGCUAGGACGAAAGCGUGGGGAGCGAAUGGG